CGCCACCAUGAAAAUUGAGAUAAUGCUGGGGAAGGCUGGAGGAGGGGAAGCAAUAUAAUCGCAUUUCAGAUUCUGGAGUUUGGUGGACCAGGUUGGAAUAUCUUCUCUAUCACUUACUGGCUUUGUGACCUUGAUGUAGUUACUUUCUUUCACAUUCUCUCUGUUCUCCAUCUGUAAAAUGGGAUCAUAGCUCGCAACUUAUUAGAAUUGUUUGAGAUUUCACUUUGUUUCUUGUCAUAAUAGGAGGUAACUCACUGAGACUGCAGUGAGCCAGACACUACUAGGUGAUUUUCUUGCAUCAUCAUUAAACUCUCAAUAUUAUCUACAAGGUAGAUUCUAUCAUGAACUCUGUUUUACAGGCUCACAAAAUAGAGGUUAAAUAACUUGCCCAAGGUCAUAUGGCCAUUAGAGAUGGAGCUGGGAUCUGAAUCCAGUAAAUCUGGUUUGAGAGGUAGCUGUGACAAGCUCAGGUUCUCAAAGGUAGUUCGUAGUGCUCAAAAUUUCCAUCAGUCCCCCCAUUCUUCUGUUAAAUACAAUCUCAUGUAAAGUGCUAUGCAAAUACGCCUUUAGAACCAACCCCCAUCCUUCCCUUUCCAAACAGGUUGUGCCAGUGAGUUCUUACACAUACAGAAGUUUUGGACCUGUCACUGCCACAGACUAAAACAAAUACAGCGUGGGGUGUGUGGAGCAUGCUGUCAGGCCCACAGGAAGAGGACAGCAGGGGUGAUGGAGGAGAAUCUGAAGCUCUAAUACACAGCGAAGUGUGAGGAAACUUACUGAAUUACCCGUACCUACCGCUACAAGGAGGACAGCUGCGUUGUAAAUGUCCACCGCUGAGAGGGACCCCAGGCUGAGUAAUGAAGGGGAAGGAGGAGAGUGGAGAAGGUGAUUUUAUGGUGGAAGGAACCUCCUUCCAGACCCACAAGCCAUCUCAUACAAGAAACAACCCUUUAUUCUCACCUAAUUCAGCUUGUUCCUGGGGUCAUGAUCUUGGGAUCAUGUGGGAUCGAGCCCCUGGAGGGGGGCGCUCUGCGCUCAACAGCGAUUCUGCUUGGGAUUCUCUUUUCCUACCCCACCCCCACCGAUUAUUCACCUUGUAUUCGGUGCCACCGCACUCUCCUUAGUGACAUUUCCCAGCCAUGAACAGCCUUCUCGGCACCGAUUUCUCUUCACCCGGAGACUCUCCCCCAUCCCCACUUUCUCAUAUUGCUGCUUUCUGCCUGGAUGCCCACACGAGAAACCCACUGCAAAAUCCGCGGCCAGCUUUCUUGCCUACAGUUUCGGUACCAGUGACCUCCGAUGCAGGGAAAUCGUCCUUCCUUUUGUUUUGAACAUCUUCUGGCUUACCCUAUUCCGCUUUGCAAUACUUCCUACCACCACCGGCUCCGCCCAGCCUUCCCGGUGGCUGCCUCGGUUUCCCCUGGCCAGCCGCACAUGAGCCCAUGGUCUGCAACGCCCCGGGCACCUUCCCCUGGCCUCCUGCUCCCUGAGGCCUCGGUGUCCCUCCGACAUUUCCUGGACGUUGUGAACUGGCAGCAAGAAUGGAUUCACUGUCUGCUCACAUUCUUAAGGGCAGGAAACCUGACCCACCCCAAAACCAGGCGCUCCAGAGGAAGGGCACUUGCGUUUUCUGGGAGGGCGGGCCUCUGCGAGAGUUAGCUAGGCUG
Ailuropoda melanoleuca (giant panda) is the source of this 1667-nucleotide long non-coding RNA. RefSeq lists it as uncharacterized. The record is from RefSeq and is a predicted model, not a curated record. The transcript has 4 exons. Lineage: Eukaryota; Metazoa; Chordata; Mammalia; Carnivora; Ursidae.